AGCGAACGUUUGCGGCGGGCCUAACACAUGCAAGUCGAACGAGAAUCCCUUCGGGGAGGAAAGUGGCGCACGGGUGCGUAACACGUGGAUAACCAACCCCCUGGCUCGGGACAACACUGGGAAACCGGUGCUAAUACCGGAUAUGGCGAGCGGAUCAUCAGGUCUGCUCGAGAAAGGCACGCAAGGGUCACCAGGGGACGGGUCCGCGUCCCAUCAGCUUGUUGGUGAGGUAAUGGCUCACCAAGGCUAAGACGGGUAGCUGGUCUGAGAGGAUGAUCAGCCACACUGGAACUGAGACACGGUCCAGACUCCUACGGGAGGCAGCAGUGGGGAAUAUUGCGCAAUGGGCGAAAGCCUGACGCAGCCACGCCGCGUGAGCGAUGAAGGUCUUAGGAUCGUAAAGCUCUGUGGGGGGAGAAGAACAAAGCCGGUGAAGAGCCGGCCUGACGGUAUCCCCUUAGCAAGCACCGGCUAACUCCGUGCCAGCAGCCG
Molecule: ribosomal RNA, 492 nt
Filed under: uncultured bacterium
Lineage: Bacteria
Description: bacterial SSU rRNA
Rfam family: Bacterial small subunit ribosomal RNA
Source: RNAcentral